Long non-coding RNA from Podarcis muralis (Common wall lizard), 1171 nucleotides. RefSeq lists it as uncharacterized. NCBI's taxonomy places the organism in Eukaryota, Metazoa, Chordata, Lepidosauria, Squamata, Lacertidae. The record is from RefSeq and is a predicted model, not a curated record.
GACCUAACCCCCCCCCCCCGCUGCCCUGGCUUUAGAGCCGCGCCAGGGAUGGAUGGACGGACGCUGAGCACACAAGAGUACCUGCCCCUUUAAGGCUGCAGUCCUCACCAAAGCACUGCAACCCUAAACCAUCCGAAGUCAAUCAGGAUCGAUGCCACAUCCUCAUACUGCAAAGAGCCACUGAAUAGAAUCAGAAAACAUCCCAGCCAGUUAAAAGGACGAGUAGAAAAUCCAUGCUGAUAUUGGCUGGGAAAGAAGCAGACACACACACACUGGUAUAAUUAGGAAAAGGAGUCUCGCUUCUCACUACACCAGAAGGUUCUUCAUGGAAAUAAACAGGGAGCAAUCCUCAUUACGUGUUGAUUCAAGUCCCUAUGUCAAACCAGUUUACCAAUAGAAAACAGACAUAUUCAUCAAAAACAUUUUUGCAGUUAAAAUUAGUAAUGUGUAUAUUUCUUUUUUUACAUGCGAGGUGGUAUUUGUGCUGCUGUUUCUGACACGUUAUAUAACCAUAAAACGAGAUGAAAAUACAGCUGGUCUUUUCUUCAGAAAGUGUAUUUAUAGCUUGUUUGAAUAAUAUAUUCCUGUUAAUAGGAAGGUAAGACCUAGGGAAGAGCUUAUUCUAUUUUCUACAACAUGGCUUCAAAAUGAUGUGAUCUAUUCUAUUAACCGAAACAGUUCAAGUAGUGUGAACAAUUCAAAGUAAAUAACAGGUCAAUCUAAAUUAAAAAAAAACAAAUUUCUAUUUGUAAAGCCUUCCCCCCCCCCAACAUGGAAUUUGAGUUAUCUAUUGGUCUAGAUCAGGCAUGUCCAACAGGUAGAUCACAAUCUACUGGUAGAUCACAGGGUGUUCCUGGUAGGUCCUGGUAGAUAUUUGGCCCCUCAGUGAUCUCCCCCCCCCAAAAAAAAUUGCAGUCUAUUGGGAGUUGGACGUCCCUGGUCUAGAUGGACAUCUAGCCUUUAAAACCAAGGCUGGUGGUUUUACUGGAAGCAAGGUGAGGUGUAUAUAGUGAGGCAUCAUAUAGCAUACUGUAACUUGCUGUAAAGAAUUGGUAGGAAUAGCUUUUGUAUGCAAAGAGAGAGGCAACAAGAACUGAUUUUACAAAAAACUUAUUAUCUUACUUUGCCAACCUAUGUAAAUAAAAGUUAAUGGGUGCUUCCCUCUGUUCUA